Molecule: transfer RNA, 66 nt
Filed under: Agrypnus sp. YD-2019
Lineage: Eukaryota; Metazoa; Arthropoda; Insecta; Coleoptera; Elateridae
Description: tRNA-Ile
Source: RNAcentral
AAUGAAGUGCCUGAAAUUAAAGGGUUAUUUUGAUAGAAUAAAUUAUGUAAAUCGUUACCUUCAUUA